Molecule: ribosomal RNA, 253 nt
Filed under: uncultured bacterium
Lineage: Bacteria
Description: partial 16S ribosomal RNA
Rfam family: Bacterial small subunit ribosomal RNA
Source: RNAcentral
UACGUAGGGUGCGAGCGUUGUCCGGAAUUAUUGGGCGUAAAGAGCUCGUAGGCGGUUUGUUGCGUCGGCCGUGAAAACCUGCAGCUUAACUGUGGGCCUGCGGCCGAUACGGGCAAACUUGAGUUCGGUAGGGGAGACUGGAAUUCCUGGUGUAGCGGUGAAAUGCGCAGAUAUCAGGAGGAACACCGGUGGCGAAGGCGGGUCUCUGGGCCGAUACUGACGCUGAGGAGCGAAAGCGUGGGGAGCGAACAGG